AACUUUCACGCAGCAGUUGUAGCACCUACUACAAAAACACUGUCCAAGCAGAAGCCUCUAUUCACAGACCUUCCCUUUGAGUCAAUGAUAAUUUUGUAACUGCCACACCUGCAGCUGUGCCUUAAUUUACUUUGAGGUUUUCUCUCUAUUUUUGACCAACAUGCCAUUUUUAUCAGAACAUGUCCAAAAUACACCAGCCUUCUUACUUGUUUUCAGAACCCCAAACCUUCCCAAUUCCAGUAAAUGUCAGAUGCUAACUUUUCACUUAUUAAAAGUCUUUCACUUAUCAAAAAUCUUUAUAAAAAGUAGUAUUAUUCUGUUUCAGAAUGAGGUAUCUCAUUUAUCUUUUAAGCUUCCAACUACUAGAAAUGACCAGAGGCAUUUCUUUGCUAUACUUAUUUGCUGCAAACUGGAAAGUUUCAGCAGGCAAACAGUUAAGAACUGGGGGGAGGAGGAGGAGGAGGAGAGGGUUGUUUCUUUCCCGGUUCUCAUCAGCCAGCAUGCUCAGUUAGCAGUGCAGAGGUUAAAGCCUCUGAGGUAAGGCAAUAUUAUUUAUAAUCAUCAGCAAUGUACUCUACAUACUUGAAAGUCUGAUUUCGGUCCUUUAAAGGCUGUCAGAGAAAGAGUGGAAACAGAAUUUAGAGAAGCUCAAGUUUUCACUCAUUACUGUGAAGCAGAGGACAUUUCUGAAGCCAAACAGCAUUACUGCAGAAUAAAUAUGCUAAGCACUGCGGGAAGCCAGAUGAAGCCCUAAAUGAAAACAUUCCCGUUAAUGUUUAACCCCUUUCACUUACACCAGAUCUCCACACAAGCGACAGAAUGAAGAAUGCUGACUGACUUCUGCUGAAGGACAAUGGGACUCUCUAUUUAUUCUUAUGAUGCUGCCGUCUCCUGGCUAAUUUCAUACAAGACUGACGAGCACUGCUGGUAGAACAUACAGGCAAAAUUGAUGAACCUUCCACCUAACAUACAACUCCACUUUCUGGAACGCUAAGUGGAAAAGAGGCAUUCUUCCAGCAUGAAAUCCAGUGCAUACCAGAAGUUCUAUACCAAAUGCUUCAAGGAUAAAGCCUCCAUGUAAUUGCUGUGGGAUUCAGGUCUGCUGCACUCUCAUUCUUCUGACUUUCAAUAAGAUAACCUGAACACUUAAUUCAACUACAAUGAGAAGACAGUAUCUGGAAAAUAAAAGAUGAACCCACUUGAUGCAACAAAAUCAGGAUUUUUACUGUGCAUUGCUGUCUGCAUGUUCAUCUACACUUUCAUCUACCUAAAGGAUACAGUUUCUGAAGAGCCAAAUGAACAAAAAUUUAAUGUAAAUAUAGCAGAGUGUGGUUUUUACCCAGAUGAGCUUUGUUCAGCUCUUUUUGUGGGGAAAACUGCUGCCUUUAAAAUUGGAAACUCUUGUCAGAAUACCUACCAACCUAAAACACUCAGCUGCGUUCAGACUUCGUGCAACUGCUCCAUGGUUUUGAAGACUCUGCAUUUUAUCACAAGACCGCUGUCAGAUGAAGAAGGGAAUUUCUCCUUGGCAUACAUUAUUACAAUUCACAAGGAGCUGGAAAUGUUUGUAAAGCUGCUAAGAGCUAUUUAUAUGCCUCAGAAUAUUUACUGCAUACAUGUUGAUGAAAAGUCACCACAGGAUUACAAAGCUGCUGUACAAAACAUCGUCAAUUGUUUUGAAAAUAUUUUUAUUUCCUCAAAAAGAGAAAAUGUUGUUUAUGCAGGAUUUUCAAGAUUACAAGCUGAUAUUAACUGCAUGAAAGAUCUAGUUCAUUCCAAAAUUCAGUGGAAUUAUGUUAUUAAUCUAUGCGGUCAAGAUUAUCCCAUUAAAACAAACAAAGACAUUAUACAAUACAUCAAAAGUAAAUGGAAUGGUAAAAAUAUGACUCCUGGGGUAGUCCAACCACUUCAUAUGAAACACAGGACACAGAUUAGUUACAAGGAGUAUGUACAUUCUGGAAUGUCAUAUGUGUAUCCAACAAAGAAUAUAAAAGCUAAACCUCCAUAUAAUUUGACUAUAUAUUUUGGUAGUGCCUACUACAUACUCACUAAAGAAUUUGUAGAGUUUACAUUGACUGAUGCACGUGCAAAAGAUUUGCUUGAAUGGUCAAGAGACACAUACAGCCCGGAUGAACACUACUGGGUCACACUGAAUCGUUUAAAUGGUAAGAUGAAUGUUAUAUCUACUAUGUAUAAUCCCUGGAGCAACAGCAUUGUAAGGCCUCUGAUAUGGAGAGCUAGUGAGCUCCAAUUCAGAGCUUUAGAACACUGCUUAACUGAGUCACAUUGCAUAAACAUGGUAAUUUCUUCAGCCUUGAUGCUGCCCUUUCAAAAAGUCACAUCUGACAGCCAAGAAACAAAAUCUGAUUCCAGAAAAGUAUUACUUAAGGUGCAGACCGUUAACUAGAAUAAUGUUGAUUAAAAAGGAAGGGUUUUUUGUUAGGUGAAAGCUCAUGCUCUCAAGGAAUUAAAAUUAAUAAAACUGAGAACAAUACCUGUUCAUAUGAUGCAAACAUCUGUAAAUAAAUACUGAACAUGACUACAGUUAAGUCUUCAGCAGUGAGAAUUUUCCCUCUAAUAAGUGGAAAGAAAUCUUAUCAGAACCUUAUGUUUUUAAAGAUGCUCCAGGGGCUACACCACAUGCAGACUGGGAAGGAAACAUACGAGCCAUUAAAUGGAGAGAUCAAGAAGGAACCGUACACAAAGGCUGCAAAGGUCAUUACAUCAGAGACAUUUGUGUCUACGGACUAGGGGAUUUGCAGUGGAUUAUAGAGUCGCCUCAUCUGUUUGCCAACAAAUUUGAGCCUGCAACAUACCCACUUGUUGUGGACUGCUUAGAGAGACGCUACAGGCUUAAAGUACUGCACCAGGCAGAAGUCCCCAUUGAAGAUCACUGGCGUUUUCAGGAAGAGAACUACUUCAACAUGAAGCUGAAUGUUUGAGCUAACUAACACCUGAACAAGUGUUCAAAAUACUGACAGAAAUGUUAACAUUCUUAGCCAUAGACUUCACUCUGUGCAUUAUAGCAUGAGGAUAAGUACACUACUGUACUACCAGCUUGCCAGUGAAAUAAACAGUUAUUUAUUACAGUAAGAUAAACAGCCACAACUAAUGGGUUAAUUCUCAAAGAAAAUGACAUGUCUAAAUCUGUAAUUUACUAAAGACAAGGGAGAAGUUCAUAAUCUUUUAAGUGACUUAUUUAACUGGAAAAAUGUGUGUUCCUUGUGUCCUUAGCAAAAAAAGGACUAACCAAUAUGAAAAUAAUAAAAUGGAUGCAAGACUGAACAAAGAUAAAAUGAAAAGCACAAGUUAAA
RNA transcript from Strigops habroptila (Kakapo), 3314 nucleotides. It is a transcript of the gene named beta-1,3-galactosyl-O-glycosyl-glycoprotein beta-1,6-N-acetylglucosaminyltransferase 7-like, with no coding region annotated. The transcript is spliced from 6 exons. Lineage: Eukaryota; Metazoa; Chordata; Aves; Psittaciformes; Psittacidae. The record is from RefSeq and is a predicted model, not a curated record.